This 31-nucleotide ribosomal RNA is filed under the name Allium tricoccum (wild leek). Its description in RNAcentral is "partial 18S ribosomal RNA". The record is from RNAcentral. Lineage: Eukaryota; Viridiplantae; Streptophyta; Magnoliopsida; Asparagales; Amaryllidaceae. RNAcentral also lists the same sequence under 2 other names.
UUCUGUAGGUGAACCUGCGGAAGGAUCAUUG